GGGUGCGAUCAUUACCAGCACUAAAUGCACCGGAUCCCAUCAGAACUCCGCAGUUAAACGUGCUUGGGCGAGAGUAGUAUCUAGGAGUGAGGUGACCUCCUGGGAAGUCCUCGUGUUGCACCCC
RNAcentral lists this ribosomal RNA (124 nucleotides) under Salix viminalis (osier). The record is from RNAcentral. Lineage: Eukaryota; Viridiplantae; Streptophyta; Magnoliopsida; Malpighiales; Salicaceae.